This is a long non-coding RNA of Carassius gibelio (silver crucian carp), 1652 nucleotides long. RefSeq lists it as uncharacterized. The record is from RefSeq and is a predicted model, not a curated record. Lineage: Eukaryota; Metazoa; Chordata; Actinopteri; Cypriniformes; Cyprinidae. The transcript has 3 exons.
UAUAUCAGAGCCAUAUAGAGUGAGAGUUGCGACAACUCCAUUGACUCCAAUGGAACGCUUUUUUUACAGCAAUGGCGGCUCGUGGAGCCUCUCAAUAGUUCCCGGAAGUAGCAGCAAACCUAUGCCGCGCCAUAGAGAUGCAGCAGAACAAACCGUUUGCGACGCACUUUUAACAGACCCAGGUAACUGGCUGACGGUUCACUGGAAUGCUGACUGCUGCUGACUGACUUGCUGCUGGUUGACUGGGCAGUGUCACCUGUCCCUGUCUCUCCUCUCUAGCCAUGUCCUUUUUCUUCACUCUCACUUUCCCUUCUCUGAGUGUCCUCGUUCUUUUUUCCUCAACCUUUGAAACUGAUAGAGGUAGAAUACAUGGUCUAGGGGUGCAUCGUGGAGCAGGGCCCUCCUCUUUUUGACCACAGGACGAUGUACAAAGAUUGUGGGAAUAGCAUCUGGUCUCAGCCUACUCUUGAAUUUUUUGGUCAUGACAAAUUGCUUUGCCACAAUUUGUCUGCAUACUGACUUCAGUUUAGUUUCCACACACACCUUUUUUUUUGUCUACCCACAUACAGUACAUAUCACAUGGUGGUUAAAUGCACAGUUAUAGGUAACACUGAUGACUCCCUGCAAUGUCUCACCAUGAGUCUCAGCUCCCUGGGUUUUGCAAGGCUUUGCUUGUUCCUUAUUUCUAGUAAAACAUUGUCAAUGUAAAAAAGUGCAAAUAAAUGUAAGUAUAAUUACCUAACAAUUUUUUGUUGUUGUAAUUUUUAUUUGUAUUUAGAUUGCUCCUGCUGACUUGAGCCAACCAUUAUUUUCUCCUCUCUAUGUCAGCGGGGAAGCCAUACAUUCGCACACCUUUCUCUGACUGAGUGGAGCAUCCCCAUGCAGCACAGUAAACCAUGGUGGAGACUAUGCAAGGACAACAUUAAAGAAAGGACACAUACAAAAUGCUUGUCAUGCUAUUAAAUUUAUUAGAAAUGUAUUCAUGAAUUGCUGUAAAUAGUUAAUUGUAUAAUUACAACUUAAAAUAACUGUUUUCUGUUUUAAAAUGGAAUAUACUCCUGUGAUGCCAACCUGAAUUUUCAGCAUCAUUACUUUUGAAUGGCAGUGUACAUGUUUAUAUACGAGUAUGCUUAAGUUGUUUUAAACCUGAAUAUAUUGUAUACAUGAAUAAGUAUUGUAAUAAUUAUACUAGAUAUAAUAGGUAUAUUAUUUAUAAUACAUAAUUAUAUUACUAUAUGUAAUUGUAAGAAUUAUAAACAGUAAGCUUCAUUUUACAUUUAUUUAACAUGCUAAUUACUGCUGGUAACAGUUAAUUGACCCAUAGUGCGGUCCCAGCUGAAAAUCACCUGUCACCAGCCUGUCUCUGUACUACCUGAAAGUCAUCAAUAUGACAUGAGUUAACAUUAGAUCAGUGAAAAAAUGGACAAUAUGUAACGUAAAAAGGCAACAGUAACCCGUGUUUAUAAAACUUAACGUUAGCCUGAAAUACGUUUUUAAAAUAACGGUAAUUGAACACUAAUCCUCAAAUAUUACCCGAUUUGAUAUUUUAAAAGCAACAUCGCUGUAACUACAUACUCAUGCUACAUACAUAUGUCAGUGUGUUGUAUAAACAUAUAAAAUAAAUGCAUUUAUUGACUCCUUAUUACCAGAAA